Saccostrea cuccullata (small rock oyster) is the source of this 718-nucleotide long non-coding RNA. RefSeq lists it as uncharacterized. The record is from RefSeq and is a predicted model, not a curated record. The transcript has 4 exons. NCBI's taxonomy places the organism in Eukaryota, Metazoa, Mollusca, Bivalvia, Ostreida, Ostreidae.
GCUUGUAAACAAAACCAAUAAACGUAGGACUUUUUCACGGCAAUGUAUGGGAACCAGUCUAGAAUGCAAAGAAAAUUCCGCCAAGUAAACAAAGAAAGAGCUUUGGGAUGUUGUCGGUUGUAUACAUUAUGUGCGACGGUGACUGCAAGAAGCAAGGGAUGUGGAUCUAAUGCAUGCUGCUAAGGAUGGAAAGGUCUUGUGUUUAUUGGUCAUGCCUGAGACACCAGUCACAGUUGUACCUCAUUCCAUUUUAGAUGUUGUGAUGAAGAUUGUUGAAAGAGAUUAUCAACAUAAAACCAGUCCAUAUGAAUGUGCAAGUCAGGACUUGUACAGCACCUGAGUACCCAGAGCAGAUGACUGUUGAACUAAUUGGUGAACAAGAAAAAAUGUCAGAGAGGGGAAUCCAAUACAGUUGUCAAGAAUAUAUACUUUUAUCAACGAUAUGAUCAAGAAUUUGUAAACUUGUAGCGAUUUAGAAUAUAUUAUCUGUAAUAUAACUCUUCAUUACUUAAUUGUUCACACAUUAUCAUCUUAUUUGUAUAUUAAUUGCCCCCUCUUAUAUAACUCCCUGCGGAUCUAAAUGACCCGUGUAUUGACUCUUGAUCUUAAGGAUCAGGACCAGAUUUUGAGUAUAUCUAUAGUGCGACAGAAUUUUAGAAUAAGAUAGGAAGAUGGAAAUAUAGAAGAAUUAGUAGAUAUAAAUGUUAGAGAUAAAUAA